CUCUCGGUCUCUUCCUCUCGAAGCUUCCCCUCCCGCAGCCUCUAUCGCUCCGCCUCGAUCUAGCCCAGCGCCGCCCCUUCCUCCGGCGCUGCCCCUGCUUCCGGCGCCGCCUCCUCCCCGCCCUCCCCCUCCUCCCCCACACGCGCCAUGCGGCGCGCACCAGCCUGCGCCGACGGACAACGACGGCGCGCCCCAACCCCGUUGCCUCCGCUCAGCGUCGUGUGAUGUCCGCCCUACGUCAAUCGGCAUGCUGGCGCAAACGCCAGCACCAACUCCGCCUCCAUCUCGCUGCGUGAUAAUUUGUCCAAGGAUCCAAUCCUGCUUCCACCGCUUCGGUAGAUUUUCCCAUGUUUGAUAAUCUGCUUUGUUCUGUGUCCAUGGACCCACAGGCCGCAGCAAUGUUGGUAGUAUGCUCUCCCUCGCCCAGCACCUCCAGUCGCGCAACCCCGCUGCAGCAACCUUGAAAUUGCUUAAAUGAGUUGUCGUGGAGGUUGUGAAAAGGAUGAGUUAUCCCUAGUAGCAGAUAUACUGGCUCAGGAUAUUCAUUAGCUUCCCAUGAGGAACUAAAGGAAGGAAGACAGAUAAGCCGUGUUGAGCUCUAUAGCAACACAUACAGAACAAAUGGGCAGCCAAUUGAUGACUAAAGCUUUGAAAAAAUGAUGAAAUCCGAAGAAGAUUAUAAGAAGACCCUUCGGCUUUUUAGAUGCUGGCCCUGCCAUUUUAAGUAUUUUAGGCCUUCAAAUUUCAUUGCUUUCUUACCUCAACUUAUAGCCUUUGGAAGUUCAAUCCAUGUCCCAUGCGUUGACUAGCCAUUGUUUUUUUAUUCCCAUGAUUUAACAUUGCUUUGAGGUAAGAGAUAGCUUCUUUUUUUGGACUAGUUUGGAUCGAACAGAUAGCUUCUUAUAAUUCUUAUAUUACAUUGUCCCUUAGAAAGCACCUUGGUAUUUUGAUGGCCUGAGCCUCUUGUGGGGUAAUUGCUUCCUCACUAUGGCUUCUCAUAGCUCAGUCACCACCUCGCAGGCACACUUCACUGCUUGUGUGUAAGCAAAUCACACUGUGCUUUCUACAAGGCUCAGCACACACAUACUUAAUUAAUUUCUUCAGAAUCAUGAUGAGUUAAAUACU
This is a long non-coding RNA of Sorghum bicolor (sorghum), 1125 nucleotides long. RefSeq lists it as uncharacterized. The record is from RefSeq and is a predicted model, not a curated record. Lineage: Eukaryota; Viridiplantae; Streptophyta; Magnoliopsida; Poales; Poaceae. The transcript has 4 exons.